UACGUAGGGGGCAAGCGUUGUCCGGAAUUAUUGGGCGUAAAGAGCGCGUAGGCGGUCCGAUAAGUCGGCUGUGAAAGUCAAGGGCUCAACCCUUGGAAGCCGGCCGAUACUGUCGGACUAGAGUCCGGAAGAGGCGAGUGGAAUUCCCGGUGUAGCGGUGAAAUGCGCAGAUAUCGGGAGGAACACCAAUUGCGAAGGCAGCUCGCUGGGACGGUACUGACGCUGAGGCACGAAAGCGUGGGGAUCAAACAGG
RNAcentral lists this ribosomal RNA (253 nucleotides) under uncultured bacterium. RNAcentral describes it as "partial 16S ribosomal RNA". It matches the Rfam family "Bacterial small subunit ribosomal RNA", at positions 524 to 776 of the family's 1533-position model. The record is from RNAcentral.